AUUGAACGCUGGCGGCAUGCCUUACACAUGCAAGUCGAACGGCAGCGGGCCCUUCGGGGUGCCGGCGAGUGGCGAACGGGUGAGUAAUGCAUCGGAACGUACCCGGGAGAGGGGGAUAACCGGCCGAAAGGCUGGCUAAUACCGCAUGAACUCGGAAGAGCAAAGCGGGGGACCUUCGGGCCUCGCGCUCUCGGAGCGGCCGAUGUCCGAUUAGGCUAGUUGGUGGGGUAAAGGCCCACCAAGGCGACGAUCGGUAGCGGGUCUGAGAGGACGAUCCGCCACACUGGGACUGUGACACGGCCCAGACUCCUACGGGAGGCAGCAGUGGGGAAUCUUGGACAAUGGGCGCAAGCCUGAUCCAGCAAUGCCGCGUGGGUGAAGAAGGCCUUCGGGUUGUAAAGCCCUUUCGGCGGGGAAGAAAUCGGUCAGGCGAAUAGUCUGGCCGGAUGACGGUACCCGCAGAAGAAGCACCGGCUAACUACGUG
Molecule: ribosomal RNA, 485 nt
Filed under: uncultured bacterium
Lineage: Bacteria
Description: partial 16S ribosomal RNA
Rfam family: Bacterial small subunit ribosomal RNA
Source: RNAcentral